This 734-nucleotide long non-coding RNA is filed under the name Triticum aestivum (bread wheat). RNAcentral describes it as "long non-coding RNA (TAES_LNC016846)". Lineage: Eukaryota; Viridiplantae; Streptophyta; Magnoliopsida; Poales; Poaceae. The record is from RNAcentral.
GCCUGCAAGAGCACCAUCGCCGUUGCUAUCUCUGCUAUCAUUAUCUUGGCGCUCCUCAUGUCUUGUGGUAAGAAAAGGAGAUAUGUUGCUUACUUCAAUAUACGAAGCUUCAGGAUAAUGAUCUCUUCCAUAUUUUGCUUCGUCCUUUUGACAAUAUGGAAUAAUAUCUUUAUUUUAUUAGAUUUAUUUAUCUUGAUGCAGUUCAAGGGGAAUGCGAAAGGAAGGAGGUCAAUACUAAUUUACCAUGUCGUAACCCCAAUAUAUGUCGUCGGUGGUGCUAUUCCAGCAAAUUCACCGGCGGCGGGUACUGCGAUAUUCAGGGUGAUGCAGCAUUUUGUGUGUGCGUGGGUUGUACGCCACCAACAUAAAAUUGCUCAAAGCGAUCUAGAGCAAAGACGGAGAUCCUACAUCGGAAGGAGUUAUAUUCAGGGAGAUUCGUGACUUUGCCCGCUUAAAAUUUCCAAGCAUUUUGUUUUCUUUCGUCGUCCCACGGGCUUGUAUGUAGCACAUUGCCUUGCAGCGUAUGGCUCACGGUCCCAGGUCGGCCGCAUGGUUUGGGCGGAAAGCCUGCCGAACGAUGUAAAUGUUUGGAUGACCAGCUUUGUUGCUGAGCGUGUGUGACUUAUGGAAUCGGAUGUGUUCUAUCUCAAAGAAAAACAUAAAAUUGCUAGUUUGUAUCAAUGUUUUUUGGAAAAUAAAUAAAGUGCGUCUAUCUAUCAAUAACGAUGCUUGUU